This is a non-coding RNA of Xenopus laevis (African clawed frog), 223 nucleotides long. NCBI's taxonomy places the organism in Eukaryota, Metazoa, Chordata, Amphibia, Anura, Pipidae. The record is from Rfam.
CCAACGUGGAUAUCUCAUGAGGUUACUCUUGUGGGCUCUAUCCAGGUGGCGUAUGGGAGCGUCACCCCUUUGAGGCGCAGUGACGUAUAAUCCCCUUCCACAACGUUGGAGAACAAACAUGUCCCCGGCCGUUUGGUUGGUGUGGGCAGAAUCCUGUAUAUUCCUACAACUUCCCUGAGCCCUCGGGCAGUGACUGGGGAGACAAACCAUGCAGGAUACAAAG